UACGUAGGGUGCGAGCGUUGUCCGGAAUUAUUGGGCGUAAAGAGCUCGUAGGCGGUCUGUCGCGUCUGCUGUGAAAACUCAGGGCUUAACCCUGAGCUUGCAGUGGGUACGGGCAGACUAGAGUGCGGUAGGGGAGACUGGAAUUCCUGGUGUAGCGGUGGAAUGCGCAGAUAUCAGGAGGAACACCGGUGGCGAAGGCGGGUCUCUGGGGCCGAUACUGACGCUGGAGGAGCGAAAGCCGUGGGGAGCGAACAGG
RNAcentral lists this ribosomal RNA (256 nucleotides) under uncultured bacterium. RNAcentral's name for it is "partial 16S ribosomal RNA". It matches the Rfam family "Bacterial small subunit ribosomal RNA", at positions 524 to 776 of the family's 1533-position model. The record is from RNAcentral.